RNAcentral lists this ribosomal RNA (301 nucleotides) under uncultured bacterium. RNAcentral's name for it is "partial 16S ribosomal RNA". It matches the Rfam family "Bacterial small subunit ribosomal RNA", at positions 509 to 807 of the family's 1533-position model. The record is from RNAcentral.
CAGUCGCCGCGGUAAUACGUAGGUGGCAAGCGUUGUCCGGAAUUAUUGGGCGUAAAGGGCUCGCAGGCGGUUUCUUAAGUCUAAUGUGAAAGCCCCCGGCUCAACCGGGGAGGGUCAUUGGAAACUGGGAAACUUGAGUGCAGUAGAGGAGAGUGGAAUUCCACGUGUAGCGGUGAAAUGCGUAGAGAUGUGGAGGAACACCAGUGGCGAAGGCGACUCUCUGGUCUGUAACUGACGCUGAGGAGCGAAAGCGUGGGGAGCGAACAGGAUUAGAUACCCCAGUAGUCCCUGUCUCUUAUAC